UACAGAGGGUGCGAGCGUUGUCCGGAAUCAUUGGGCGUAAAGGGCGCGUAGGUGGCCCAGUCAGCGUGCGGUGAAAGCUCGGGGCUCAACCCCGAGUCGGCCGUGCGAACUGCUGGGCUUGAGCACUGUAGAGGCAGGCGGAAUUCCGGGUGUAGCGGUGGAAUGCGUAGAGAUCCGGAAGAACACCGGUGGCGAAGGCGGCCUGCUGGGCAGUGGCUGACACUGAGGCGCGACAGCGUGGGGAGCAAACAGG
RNAcentral lists this ribosomal RNA (253 nucleotides) under uncultured bacterium. Its description in RNAcentral is "partial 16S ribosomal RNA". It matches the Rfam family "Bacterial small subunit ribosomal RNA", at positions 524 to 776 of the family's 1533-position model. The record is from RNAcentral.